This 1020-nucleotide unclassified non-coding RNA is filed under the name Hevea brasiliensis (rubber tree). Lineage: Eukaryota; Viridiplantae; Streptophyta; Magnoliopsida; Malpighiales; Euphorbiaceae. The record is from RNAcentral.
GAUUUCAUGUUGAUUGGAGAUCCUGGGUACUGAGUAUUGCCGAUUGAUAAAUUUUGAGGCAUCAGAAUCAUCCUCAUCACUGUCCAUAAGGCUAUCUUCUAGUUUACUAAGUUCUGUAUAUGAUUCAAAGAUCCUUUCCAGGGUAGAUCUAAUUUUUGAUGCAGCUAUAAAAGAUGGCACGUUGCAUUGCUUCUUAUACUUUGAGAACAUCCAACUUCUCAAUGAUGCAUUGUUACCAAGAACCUGCAUAAAAGAAAACUCAGAAUAAGAAAGCAAUGAAAUGGAUAUCUAUAGAUGCAGACAUUGAAUAAGCCAAGAAAAUAAAUAAUUUGCUAAAUAAAUUCUGUUAGUUACCUACUUACAUUCAACUAGAUGGGAAUUAUAUUUAGUGCUCUCAACUGUUCAAUAAAUUAAACUAGAUCUAUAUGCACUCAAGAAGGGUUACAUUUGCAAUAUUCAAUACAAUUAGAUUUUCAUGUAACAUAAUAUCAUCUCAUUAUUACAAACAAAAAAAGAGUACCAAAUUGAACAACGUUCAGAACAGAAAAGAAACAUCAACAUAGAAUAUAAAUUAUUAUUAUUCAUAAAAAAUUACAGCAUAUGACAAUCUUUUAUUGACAAAAAAAUAUAAAAAAAAGUUAGACCAGCUAUUUCAGAUAAUAUCACUUGUGCAACUUAAUUCCUUUUGAGUAAUAGAAAUUACACAUAAUGUAAUGCCGCCAAGUUUCUACUUUCUAUCACUGCAUGAUGUUCGUUUUCAACCUAUUAUCUGCUCUUGUAACUAAUGAUAAGAAUCAACAUUAUUGCAUUUAAAAUGGGCUUGGGACAAGACAGCUUUAACAAGUUUGCCAAAAGCCAAGGAUUAUUUGAUCUCACAUCUACCAUAAGCAGUGUCAUUAAAGGCGCAGAAAGUAGCGAAUUGCCUAACUAAGGUGCGCCUGGAUUUGAAAAGGCAAGCGCUUUGGGCCAAAAGCCGAGAGGCGCCAGGCCUUGGGAGGCACCGCCUCAUGCAUAUAACGA